GCCCCCCUGUGGCACAGUGGGUCAUUGUGUCUGACGGUUAAUCAGAAGGUUGGUAGUUCGAGCCCACCCAAGGACA
This is a non-coding RNA of Podarcis lilfordi (Lilford's wall lizard), 76 nucleotides long. The record is from the annotation of a GenBank genome assembly. Lineage: Eukaryota; Metazoa; Chordata; Lepidosauria; Squamata; Lacertidae.